ACUGAACUGAACUGAAUUGAUAGUAAGACUGGAACAACACAGAGAAAAUUGGUAUAACUCCUACAUACAGAUGACACACAAAUUCGUGAAGUAUCCUGUGUGUUU
Small nuclear RNA from Capra hircus (goat), 105 nucleotides. NCBI's taxonomy places the organism in Eukaryota, Metazoa, Chordata, Mammalia, Artiodactyla, Bovidae. The record is from Ensembl.